ACCUUCGGGUGUGAAUUAGCGGCGAACGGGUGAGGAACACGUGAGAAAUCUGCCUUCAACUCUGGGAUAACUCCGUGAAAACGGGGCUAAUACCGGAUAUGAAACCUUCAGGCAUCUGAGGGUUUGGAAAGUUUUUCGGUUGAAGAUGAUCUCGCGGCCUAUCAGCUUGUUGGUGAGGUAAUGGCUCACCAAGGCGACGACGGGUAGCCGGCCUGAGAGGGCGACCGGCCACACUGGGACUGAGACACGGCCCAGACUCCUACGGGAGGCAGCAGUGGGGAAUAUUGGGCAAUGGAGGAAACUCUGACCCAGCGACGCCGCGUACGGGAUGAAGGCCUUCGGGUUGUAAACCGCUUUCAGCAGGGAAGAAGCGAAAGUGACGGUACCUGCAGAAGAAGCACCGGCUAACUAUGUGCCAGCAGCCGCGGUAAUACAUAGGGUGCAAGCGUUGUCCGGAAUUAUUGGGCGUAAAGAGCUCGUAGGUGGUUCGUCACGUCGGAUGUGAAACUCUGGGGCUUAACCCCAGACCUGCAUUCGAUACGGGCGAGCUUGAGUAUGGUAGGGGAGUCUGGAAUUCCUGGUGUAGCGGUGGAAUGCGCAGAUAUCAGGAGGAACACCAAUGGCGAAGGCAGGACUCUGGGCCAUUACUGACACUGAGGAGCGAAAGCGUGGGGAGCGAACAGGAUUAGAUACCCUGGUAGUCCACGCCGUANACGGUGGGCACUAGUUGUGGGGACCUUCCACGGUCUCUGCGACGCAGCUAACGCAUUAAGUGCCCCGCCUGGGGAGUACGAUCGCAAGAUUAAAACUCAAAGGAAUUGACGGGGCCCCGCACAAGCAGCGGAGCAUGCGGCUUAAUUCGACG
RNAcentral lists this ribosomal RNA (865 nucleotides) under uncultured Actinomycetales bacterium. RNAcentral's name for it is "bacterial SSU rRNA". It matches the Rfam family "Bacterial small subunit ribosomal RNA", at positions 76 to 956 of the family's 1533-position model. The record is from RNAcentral. Lineage: Bacteria; Bacillati; Actinomycetota; Actinomycetes; Actinomycetales.